This is an RNA transcript of Papaver somniferum (opium poppy), 1492 nucleotides long. It is a transcript of the gene named wall-associated receptor kinase 2-like, with no coding region annotated. The transcript is spliced from 5 exons. The record is from RefSeq and is a predicted model, not a curated record. NCBI's taxonomy places the organism in Eukaryota, Viridiplantae, Streptophyta, Magnoliopsida, Ranunculales, Papaveraceae.
UUAUUUCGAAAUACGUUGCGAUGAGAGUCUCCUCAAUUCCACCAAGCCAGUUUAUGGCAAAAACUUAAAUAUCUCAAAUAUAUCAAUACUCGACGGAGAUAUGAUAACCGAAAUCUUCAUAGCCAGCGAUUGUCCAGAUAGGGAAUCUCCUAAUUUAUUCUCGACAGCUUACUUGGGAAAAUUCACCUUCUCUAAUACAAAAAACAGGUUCGUUGGUAUGGGUUGCAAUACCUGGGCGUAUCUAAAACCAGAUGGUAAUAGAUCUAUUAGUGCCGGAUGUUUGUCAGUCUGUGAUAAAAUAGAAGAUAGCACUGAUGGGUCUUGCAAUGGUGUCGGUUGUUGCCAGGCCUCCGUCCCAGCUGGACUUCAAAAUUUAAACUACAGUGUUGGAAGCAUGUCUAAUACCGUGGUGAUUGAAUGGACCGUUGGUUUCCAGACAUGCAAUGAAGCUAAAAGAAACUCGACGUUUUAUGCCUGUGGACCUAACACUGACUGUACAGUACCUGCAGGCGAUAGUACUCAAGGUUAUCGGUGUAACUGUAAAAAUGGCUAUAGAGGAAAUCCUUAUCUGAACAGCAGUACUGCUGGUGGAUGUCAAGGUAUCGAUGAAUGUAACGAGCUAGAGGUAUGUAAGGGAGAUAGAGGUAGUUGCAAAAACACAGAAGGAAGCUACAACUGUUCUUGCAACAAGGGAUAUAGUAUUGAUAUCAGAAAUAAUAUUACAGAUUGCUUUCUCGAGAGUCAGAGCGAUCUUCCCGAGAGUCGGAGUACUCAGAAUAAUAAUAACGUCAACAAGAUUGUUGUUGGGGCCUGCCUUAGCUUAUUUAUUCUACUUGUGAGUCUUGUGACUGGCUUCUGGAUAUAAUGGGGAUACAGGAAAAAAAAGCACAUGGAACUCAAGGAGGAAUUCUUCAAAAAAAUGGCGAAUGGAUAUAAAUGGAGAUCAUGCUUUGCAUUGGGCUAGUGAUGUUGGCCUCAAAUUCCGACAUGAUUUGGUUCGUGAUGUUCUUGCGGAUAUAUGUUACACGACGGGUGUGCCAGCACGCAAAGAAGUGGCGUUAGGUUUCUUGUCUGAUGAUGGUAGUGCUUUACUUCCAUUCGAUAUCCUAGUCUACAAUUAGGAAAGCAGUCAAGAUGUUUGUAUGGAUGUUACGGGAGUCUCGCCUUUCACAGGAGGUGGUGUGAGUGCCUUCACCCCUAGGCAGGCUAUUUCCAAGGCUGUGAUGCGUAAGCGCAACAAAUAUUUGGAAAAAUGUGUUGAACAUGGGUAUGGGCUCGAUGUGCUUGCUUUCACUAUCUUAGGUGACUUGGGCGAAGAUACAACGACCUUUUUGAAGAGGCUGAAGAAUUGUUUAGUUAACAAUGAUGCUGCUAGUGGUUUAGGCAGUUUUAUUUUUCAUAAAGUGGGUGUUGGUAUUCAAAAGGGUGUUGGUGCAUAACUUGUAGCUAGGUUACCAACUCAUCCAUUGUACACAUAAUAAUUUUAUUAAAA